This 358-nucleotide unclassified non-coding RNA is filed under the name soil metagenome. Its description in RNAcentral is "partial contains 5.8S ribosomal RNA, internal transcribed spacer 2, and large subunit ribosomal RNA". The stretch from base 1 to 120 matches the Rfam family "5.8S ribosomal RNA", at positions 35 to 154 of the family's 154-position model. The record is from RNAcentral.
GAUGAAGAACGUAGCGAAAUGCGAUAAGUAAUGUGAAUUGCAGAAUUCAGUGAAUCAUCGAAUCUUUGAACGCACAUUGCGCCCGUCAGUAUUCUGGCGGGCAUGCCUGUUCGAGCGUCAUUACGCCCCUCAAGUCCCCUGUGGACUUGGUGUUGGGGAUCGGCGAGGCUGGUUUUCCAGCACAGCCGUCCCUUAAAUUAAUUGGCGGUCUCGCCGUGGCCCUCCUCUGCGCAGUAGUAAAACAUUCGCAACAGGAGCCCGGCGCGGUCCACUGCCGUAAAACCCCCCAACUUUUUAUAGUUGACCUCGAAUCAGGUAGGACUACCCGCUGAACUUAAGCAUAUCAAUAAGCGGAGGA